UGCAUCAAUUAUAACAACUUUUUAUUUACUAUACAAGUAUUAGAAAUUAGCGUAUGAUCAUAUCAGAAAUCAACCACUUCCUCAGUAAUAUAGAUAACAAACUUAAGUGUCGGUUUCCGUACUGUUCCUAUAAAAAUUAAAAUAGAGAGAGAUGGGGUUGUUUCUCCAUAGUUAAAAGUCUAAAAAUAGUUUGCUCUGUAAUCCAAAACAGAGAUGUAAUUCGAUCUUUGUUCAUGACAUACAAUUCCAGCGUUCUCAUCAGCAAAGGUAAAUCAUAAUGUAGGAGAUACUGAAACCCCCCAGGACUAGAUAUCAUUUCAAUUUGAUAGCUACUGCCACUUAAUAUUUUCUUUCGCCAGUUUUUCUGAACUGCAAACCAUUUAAUGU
RNAcentral lists this unclassified non-coding RNA (387 nucleotides) under Hevea brasiliensis (rubber tree). The record is from RNAcentral. Lineage: Eukaryota; Viridiplantae; Streptophyta; Magnoliopsida; Malpighiales; Euphorbiaceae.